GAUGAACGCUGGCGGCGUGCCUAAUACAUGCAAGUCGAGCGAACAGACGAGGAGCUUGCUCCUCUGACGUUAGCGGCGGACGGGUGAGUAACACGUGGAUAACCUACCUAUAAGACUGGGAUAACUUCGGGAAACCGGAGCUAAUACCGGAUAAUAUAUUGAACCGCAUGGUUCAAUAGUGAAAGACGGUUUUGCUGUCACUUAUAGAUGGAUCCGCGCCGCAUUAGCUAGUUGGUAAGGUAACGGCUUACCAAGGCAACGAUGCGUAGCCGACCUGAGAGGGUGAUCGGCCACACUGGAACUGAGACACGGUCCAGACUCCUACGGGAGGCAGCAGUAGGGAAUCUUCCGCAAUGGGCGAAAGCCUGACGGAGCAACGCCGAGUGAGUGAUGAAGGUCUUCGGAUCGUAAAACUCUGUUAUUAGGGAAGAACAAAUGUGUAAGUAACUAUGCACGUCUUGACGGUACCUAAUCAGAAAGCAACGGCUAACUACGUG
Molecule: ribosomal RNA, 497 nt
Filed under: uncultured bacterium
Lineage: Bacteria
Description: partial 16S ribosomal RNA
Rfam family: Bacterial small subunit ribosomal RNA
Source: RNAcentral